RNAcentral lists this long non-coding RNA (302 nucleotides) under Homo sapiens (human). Its description in RNAcentral is "HSALNT0321075". Lineage: Eukaryota; Metazoa; Chordata; Mammalia; Primates; Hominidae. The record is from RNAcentral.
AAUCUGGUGUCAAGAAGUGGGACCAAAGUGAGCUCACCUUGAUGGAUCGGUGACUCCUGGAAUCACAUGAAGUUCCCACAUUGAGCCCCUUUGAGCUCUCCAAUCCUACAGCUCACCUUUUCUGUCAUGGUGAAUCUCCUCUCAGGUUCUUGAACUCCCUCAUUUUGCCAUUAUACAAUUCAGUGAGUCCUAGCUGAAAUGUAAAAACACCUGAGAAACUAACCACUAAAUUUGAGGCUUUAAAAAAAAAAGGUUCUUCAGUUUUGAGACCUGGACUGGGUUUCCUUGCUCCUCAAGUUUGC